Peromyscus leucopus (white-footed mouse) is the source of this 2804-nucleotide long non-coding RNA. RefSeq lists it as uncharacterized. The transcript has 2 exons. The record is from RefSeq and is a predicted model, not a curated record. NCBI's taxonomy places the organism in Eukaryota, Metazoa, Chordata, Mammalia, Rodentia, Cricetidae.
CCCUAGAAGACAGAGAGACAGUUCUUAAAGAGAGUGGCUCCAAGCCAGGUCCUGGGAGCCGGGAGCACAGCCAACUCACAGGAAGAACAUUGUAACAGCUAGCCAAUAGCAAAGAAGAUGCCACCCUGACGGGUUUUGGCCAAUGAGUGAAGAGAAUGCUAUCUUCUCCGCCUAACCCCAGGAGAGGAGGGCUGGGCUAUGAGAGGAGAGAGUACUCUGAGGGGGUCUGUUGGUCUCUGGGCGCUAUGAUACCUCCUCUAAGGUGCCCAAGAGCAUCAUACCACACGUUGGCACAGCUGGUUUUGUGACCUUCUUUACCCAACCCCUCUUUCUCUUAACAUGGGGUAGCCCCAGCUGACUGAUGAUAUGAGGAAGCUUUGGAGUACCAGGAAGGGAGUCCUGAAAUAUGUCAUCCUGGCUAGUUCUCUGCCCUCCACUGCUUGCCUCUUUUCCCCUCCCUCUUUUCAGCCUCCUGUUCCUCCUUUCCUCCCCCAUCCUGUUCCUCCAUGCUGGGCUCCUCCCCCUGUCCCCUGUCUCUUCCCCCCUUUGGCCGAAUCUCCCCUCCUUUCUAGUCCCAUCUCUCCACCUAAUUCCUUCACUUCGCACCUCCCAGGUCUGGGGCUCUUCCUCACUUCUGGAGAGUGUGAGGUCGGAAUCCAGCCGCAGCCUGAGGCAGCAGGCCUCCUCUUGCCCGUCACAGACACCGACAGGCACUCUACAAAGACCCUGCCUUCCAGUCCCUAGCUAACAGAGUUCCAGGGACCAGGAGCUCUCACCUGGGAAGUGAGUUUAUGUCAAGGAACACGGCUUGACACGUGCCAUUGGAGACGAUGGAGAGGUUGAGGCAUUGGAGCCGGUCCGGGAAUGGUUCUGGGCAUGGAAGAUGGGUGAUAUCAGUGAUGGAGAUGAUGGGUAAGGUAGACCCUCUGAGAUCCCUACUAUGGGGCUACAUUCUUCCCAAGGACAUUUGAUAUAAAUUUAUACCUCUCCACUCAACUUCACUGCAAUCCUAAAUAUUCUCAGUUUCGUGACUCAGUCCCAUGGUCACCCUUGUCCCCAGGCCGCAGGCCUGGUCCUUUGACCUUUGACUUCAUUAGCUCUUGAUCCCAGCCUCACUUCAUGUCUUCCAUCUCCUGAAGCCAUGUCCUUAGUUUCACUUUAACCUCAGAUCUCAGUUCCACAUCGUUCAAAUAUUCACUUACUUCAUCUUAACUCAAAAAAAAAAAAAAAAAAGUCUUCCGAUUUCAGGUCAUUUGACCCCAAAUUCCAUGCCACAAAAACCCUGGCCCAAACCAAAUAUGACAUGAGGAAGAUUCUGACUAGAUUGUGAUCCAGUGACCUCAGCUUCCCAUCUCUAGUAGGGAUGGAAUUUAGGACCUAAGGACUCUACCACUGAGCCACAUCUACAGACAUUUUUACUUUUUAUUUUGAGACAGGCUCUUAUUCUAUAACAUAGGCUGACCUUGAACUUUCUGCCCUCUUACCUCAGCCUAUGGUACCUAGGAUUGGAGGCCCAGCAAUACCAGCUCUGUAAUGACCUCUAACACCUGAGCCCAUGAAUCAGAUGCCCUGAUGACCCCUGGCAUUACUCUGACCUCUGAUCACAACUCUGACCCCUGGCUUCUGACUCCAUACUCAAUCCCUUAAUCUCUGUGACUCUAAAGACCCACCUUACCAUGACCUUUGACGCUGCUUAAAGUGAACAACUUGAUCUCUUACCCUACAUCCCUCACCCCCAACCUCAGGACCCUCUUACCCCAUGGCUUGUUUGUGGUACCCCAUCCUGAAAUAUGACACCUGGUCCCCAUAGGUGCACAGGAAGUGGGCAGGGCCAGGGGCCGGACAGCAUGGGUCAGGCGGACCGGUCUGCCCAGCCGCAGGAGUCGAAGAUCAUGCUCAUGGUUCCGAUGGGCACCCUGGUAGCUGGGGUGUGUCAUGGAGAAGGUGGUGAGCCUCAGUUGCUCCGUCCAGUCCAGCUUGCUGAGGCUGUGCUCUCCAAGGCGCACCACGUACCUGAGGGUGCAGCUGGUCAGUGGGUGGCAGAUGGGCCGUUUACCUCUCUCUGUUUCUCUCUCUCAGCCUCUGGGUCUCUGCUCCCCGUCAACUACGCAUGUUGGGCUUCUACUCCCAUGGCCUCUUUGACGGCAGAUGUCAUGGGGCAGGGAUGUCUUCUGCUAUACCUUCUGCCGUAAUUAUCCCCACAGCCAGCACCAGCAAUGCUACCAGGACUGUGACUGGGCAAUGGAUAAGGAAGACACCUCUGUCCUACAUGGAGCUUCUUGGUCCCUUGACACCUGGCUCCCCUUUUACAGCUAGUCCAGGCCUAGAAAGUGGACCAGCUGAGGUCUGGGGAGAGGGUUCAGUGGGUGUCCUGGUUAGUGUUUUUGUCUACUUAAGGUAUGCACCACCAACAGGCACAAGGAAGCUAUGCUAAAGAGACACUAAUGUCUGUCAGAUUAUUGGAACAAUAGACCCCAAGGAAAUGGGAAUCCCCACACACUCCAGGAACCUCACGCCGGGGGAAGGAAAAGGUGCCGACCAGAGGGGUAACCUGUCUCGGGAAAGAGAUUUCCAGCAGUUCUAAGAGCUGGUCAGACCACCUCACAGUGGAGACUGGAGCCCAGACCGUGAUGGGUCAGUGGUGGGCUGCACCACGUCUUGGACUGCUUAGAAAUGCACAUUGUUAGCCCUCUGUUUACACUGCAGUCUCACUUCAGGAUCCCGAAGAUGGAUUAGAGGGGGUCAACUGCGUCUAUUUGUCCAGUUCCCAAAGGGGCCACAGUGAAUAAAUCUCCUUCCUAGUA